Molecule: ribosomal RNA, 690 nt
Filed under: Pristimantis bicantus
Lineage: Eukaryota; Metazoa; Chordata; Amphibia; Anura; Strabomantidae
Description: partial large subunit ribosomal RNA
Rfam family: Bacterial large subunit ribosomal RNA (bases 430-645)
Source: RNAcentral
UGGUUCUCAAAAAAAGAAUUUUAGUCCAACCUAAAGUUACACAAAUUUACAUAAAUUUCUCCACUCACUUUAGAGCAAUUCAAAUGAGGUACAGCCCAUUUGAUACAGGAUCCAACCUUUACUAACGGGUAAUAUCUGACUCCACCCCAAGUAGGCUUAAGAGCAGCCACCUUUUAAAAAGCGUCAAACCUUAACAUAUUAACACCAAUUCAUAACCCCCCCAUCAACCCCUUUCACCCUACUGAGAACUUCUAUAACAUUAUAGAACCUUUAAUGUUAAAACUAGUAACAAGAGAUACACCCUCUCUAUGAUGCAAACUCAAACCAGCAAGAACCUCUCACUGGUGAUUAACAGAAACAAAGUAGUAACUUUCUCAAGAAAACUCUACUCCCUCAACUGUUAACCUAACACAAGAGCAUCCCAAGAAAGAUUUAAAGAAAAAGAAGGAACUCGGCAAAUAUCAAUCUCGCCUGUUUACCAAAAACAUCGCCUCUUGUCACCUAUAAGAGGUCCAGCCUGCCCAGUGACUCUUGUUCAACGGCCGCGGUAUCCUAACCGCGCGAAGGUAGCGUAAUCACUUGUCUUUUAAAUAAAGACUAGUAUGAAAGGCACCACGAAGAUUAAACUGUCUCCUCUCUCCAAUCAGUGAACCUAAUCUCCCCGUGAAAAAGCGGGAAUUUUUAUAUAAG